CUUAGAUUUAAUUUAAUAUAUAGUUUAAUUCAGUGGCGAAGCUAGUCAUAGCAACAAGUCAUGCUAUGCACAUUUUUAAUGAUUUGCAUGAUUCAAACUUUAGAAAUAUAUUGUCUUUAACCUAAUUAGGUAUACGUAAAAACGCACAAGUUGUUACAGGUCUGCAAACAAGUUGUCACAAUUCUGUUCACAAGCUGUCGACAAGUUGUGUUCGCAC
Molecule: non-coding RNA, 217 nt
Organism: Paramuricea clavata
Lineage: Eukaryota; Metazoa; Cnidaria; Anthozoa; Malacalcyonacea; Plexauridae
Source: the annotation of a GenBank genome assembly